UGUCAUGGCAGCCGUGCGCGGGCAGGCUUUCGCCUGGCCGGAUUUCCAAGUUGGCCGGUUUCUCACCCCGUGCAUGGCUGCCACCUAU
RNAcentral lists this non-coding RNA (88 nucleotides) under Pseudomonas sp. RV120224-01c. Lineage: Bacteria; Pseudomonadati; Pseudomonadota; Gammaproteobacteria; Pseudomonadales; Pseudomonadaceae. RNAcentral also lists the same sequence under 1 other name. The record is from RNAcentral.